This 253-nucleotide non-coding RNA is filed under the name Gottschalkia acidurici. RNAcentral's name for it is "Clostridium acidurici T-box sequence". It matches the Rfam family "T-box leader". From Rfam's summary of the family: Uncharged tRNA acts as the effector for transcription antitermination of genes in the T-box leader family. T-boxes are found upstream of many aminoacyl-tRNA synthetase genes and some amino acid biosynthetic genes usually in Gram-positive bacteria. The anticodon of a specific tRNA base pairs to a specifier sequence within the T-box motif, and the NCCA acceptor tail of the tRNA base pairs to a conserved bulge in the T-box antiterminator hairpin. The record is from RNAcentral. Lineage: Bacteria; Bacillati; Bacillota; Tissierellia; Tissierellales; Gottschalkiaceae.
AAAAAUCUAAUGAUUGGAAGAGUAAAUAUAGAAUAGUUUAAGCGAGCUAGAGUUGGUGGAAGUCUAGCAACUAAACUAUAUUGAAAAGAGUCCAUGAAGAGAAAUGCUAAAAAUAUUUAUACAAUUAUGUAUAAAUACUAGUAAGUAUUUCCGGCGAUUGUCGUUAAAAUGAAGGAGUGGAAAUGAAUAAAUAUUCAAAUAUAUAUUCAUUUCAAUAAGAGUGGUAGCGCGAAAAUAACCUUUCGUCUCUUAA